RNAcentral lists this ribosomal RNA (1410 nucleotides) under Klebsiella oxytoca. RNAcentral describes it as "bacterial LSU rRNA". It matches the Rfam family "Bacterial large subunit ribosomal RNA", at positions 1552 to 2925 of the family's 2925-position model. Lineage: Bacteria; Pseudomonadati; Pseudomonadota; Gammaproteobacteria; Enterobacterales; Enterobacteriaceae. The record is from RNAcentral.
AACGCUGAGGUGUGAUGACGAGGCACUACGGUGCUGAAGUGACAAAUGCCCUGCUUCCAGGAAAAGCCUCUAAGCAUCAGGUAACAUCAAAUCGUACCCCAAACCGACACAGGUGGUCAGGUAGAGAAUACCAAGGCGCUUGAGAGAACUCGGGUGAAGGAACUAGGCAAAAUGGUGCCGUAACUUCGGGAGAAGGCACGCUGAUGGUAGGUGAAGUGACUUGCUCAUGGAGCUGAAAUCAGUCGAAGAUACCAGCUGGCUGCAACUGUUUAUUAAAAACACAGCACUGUGCAAACACGAAAGUGGACGUAUACGGUGUGACGCCUGCCCGGUGCCGGAAGGUUAAUUGAUGGGGUUAUCCGUAAGGAGAAGCUCUUGAUCGAAGCCCCGGUAAACGGCGGCCGUAACUAUAACGGUCCUAAGGUAGCGAAAUUCCUUGUCGGGUAAGUUCCGACCUGCACGAAUGGCGUAAUGAUGGCCAGGCUGUCUCCACCCGAGACUCAGUGAAAUUGAACUCGCUGUGAAGAUGCAGUGUACCCGCGGCAAGACGGAAAGACCCCGUGAACCUUUACUAUAGCUUGACACUGAACACUGGUCCUUGAUGUGUAGGAUAGGUGGGAGGCUUUGAAGUGUGGACGCCAGUCUGCAUGGAGCCAUCCUUGAAAUACCACCCUUUAAUGGCUGGUGUUCUAACGUGGGCCCGUAAUCCGGGUUGCGGACAGUGUCUGGUGGGUAGUUUGACUGGGGCGGUCUCCUCCUAAAGAGUAACGGAGGAGCACGAAGGUCAGCUAAUCCUGGUCGGACAUCAGGAGGUUAGUGCAAUGGCAUAAGCUGGCUUGACUGCGAGCGUGACGGCGCGAGCAGGUGCGAAAGCAGGUCAUAGUGAUCCGGUGGUUCUGAAUGGAAGGGCCAUCGCUCAACGGAUAAAAGGUACUCCGGGGAUAACAGGCUGAUACCGCCCAAGAGUUCAUAUCGACGGCGGUGUUUGGCACCUCGAUGUCGGCUCAUCACAUCCUGGGGCUGAAGUAGGUCCCAAGGGUAUGGCUGUUCGCCAUUUAAAGUGGUACGCGAGCUGGGUUUAGAACGUCGUGAGACAGUUCGGUCCCUAUCUGCCGUGGGCGCUGGAGAAUUGAGGGGGGCUGCUCCUAGUACGAGAGGACCGGAGUGGACGCAUCACUGGUGUUCGGGUUGUCAUGCCAAUGGCAUUGCCCGGUAGCUAAAUGCGGAAGAGAUAAGUGCUGAAAGCAUCUAAGCACGAAACUUGCCCCGAGAUGAGUUCUCCCUGACUCCUUGAGAGUCCUGAAGGAACGUUGAAGACGACGACGUUGAUAGGCCGGGUGUGUAAGCGCAGCGAUGCGUUGAGCUAACCGGUACUAAUGAACCGUGAGGCUUAACCUUACAACGCCGAAG